RNAcentral lists this ribosomal RNA (208 nucleotides) under uncultured bacterium. RNAcentral's name for it is "partial 16S ribosomal RNA". It matches the Rfam family "Bacterial small subunit ribosomal RNA", at positions 1283 to 1500 of the family's 1533-position model. The record is from RNAcentral.
GGUACCCAGUUCGGAUUGUAGGCUGCAACUCGCCUACAUGAAGUCGGAGUUGCUAGUAAUCGCGGAUCAGAAUGCCGCGGUGAAUGCGUUCCCGGGUCUUGUACACACCGCCCGUCACACCAUGGAAGUUGGGGGCGCCCGAAGUUGCCUAAGAAAUAAGGUACCUAAGGCGAAACCAAUGACUGGGGUGAAGUCGUAACAAGGUAUC